AUGAUGGGAACAGAGUGCAUAACUGCCUCGCUCGGCGACGAUCCUGAACCCUCAGUCCCACCUGGGUUUGGACCGCCACCUGGAUUUGGGCCGUUUGCUGCGUAUGCAUUGCAAGGAACCCAGAAGGACGCCAAACCUGCUGAUGCUCAUCCUAGUCCUGCUCAAGUGUUUCAGAAUGAGAAGAAACAUGCUGAAUCCCUGGAAGGCCAGCCCCAUUCAGCUCAGAGCCGGAACGACACACACUGCAGUACUUCCGGGAGCCAUACGUGUAGGCAGUCGCUGCGGAACAGGCCUCCGGUAGACUACAGCCGCUUUGACAGUAUGUCAGACGAAGAUUCCGAUGUCGAAGUAGUAGAAAAGGCGGCUACAAGUUUAGUGAGACGCAGACAGCAGUUACCCAAAGGAGUUUUUCGAGGAUGUGCGGCAUGCAGUGACUGUCAAAAGGUUGUUGCAAGUUGGAAUCCAGAUGGUGCACGGAGACCUGUUCUUGAUGAGGCUCCUGUCUUUCAUCCUACUGAGGAGGAAUUCAAAGACACCCUUAAAUAUAUUGAGAGCAUACGGCCAACAGCAGAACCAUAUGGGAUUUGCCGUAUUGUUCCACCACCUUCGUGGAAGCCGCCGUGCCUUCUUAAAGAGAAGAGUACGUGGGAAAACUCAACAUUCUCUACACGGGUACAAAAGGUUGACAAGCUUCAAAACCGUACAUCAUCCAAAAAGAGCACAAGAGGUGGAAUGAUGAAGAAGCGGAGAAAGCUUUCAGAGCCAGAAGAAAACAGUAAGAGAUUUGGAUUUGAACCUGGACCAGAGCUCACAUUGCAAAAAUUUCAGAAGUAUGCAGAUUACUUCAGCGAGCAGUAUUUCAAGAAAGAUGCAUCUAUGAAUUCACCACCAUCAGUGGAAGAUAUUGAAGGCGAGUAUUGGCGUAUAGUUGAAAGUCCCACAGAAGAGAUAGAGGUGAUCUAUGGCGCUGAUUUGGAGACAGGGUCUUUUGGCAGCGGCUUUCCAAAGUUACCUCCUGAGACAAAAUCAGAUGUUGAGGAUAAGUAUGCACAAUCUGGUUGGAAUCUAAACAACUUGCCUCGACUACAAGGCUCAGUUCUUUCUUUUGAGGGUGGUGACAUUUCUGGUGUUCUGGUGCCUUGGGUGUAUGUUGGCAUGUGUUUCUCAUCAUUCUGCUGGCAUGUCGAAGAUCAUCAUUUAUACUCGCUAAACUACUUGCAUUGGGGUGCCCCAAAGAUGUGGUAUGGAGUUCCAGGAAAGGAUGCUGUGAAUCUGGAGUCUGCAAUGAGGAAGCAUCUACCUGACUUGUUUGAGGAGCAACCUGAUUUGCUUCACAACCUGGUUACUCAAUUUUCACCAUCACUGCUAAAAUCUGAAGGAGUUCAAGCAUAUCGUUGUGUUCAGCGUGAGGGCGAAUUUGUCCUGACAUUCCCGCGAGCGUACCAUGCUGGGUUCAAUUGUGGCUUCAAUUGUGCAGAAGCUGUUAAUGUGGCACCUAUUGAUUGGUUGCCAGUUGGACAGAAUGCUGUAGAGCUUUAUCGUGAACAAUCUCGGAAAAUAACUGUUUCCCAUGAUAAGCUGUUAUUGGGGGCUGCAAGAGAAGCAAUCAGAGCUCAGUGGGAUAUCCUAUUCCUCAAGAGGAAUACUGCUGAUAAUUUGAGAUGGAAAAGUGCAUGUGGACCUGAUAGCACUAUAUGCAAAUCACUUAAGGCACGAAUCGAGACGGAGUUGGCACAAAGGCAAAAUCUAUGUUCCCCAUCUCAAUCUAGGAAAAUGGAUGCCGAGUUUGAUUCCACUGAUAGGGAGUGUGCUUUUUGCUACUAUGAUUUGCAUCUUUCUGCUGCUGGCUGUCCAUGCUGCCCAGAGAAAUAUGCUUGCCUGUUACACGCAAAGCAACUUUGCUCAUGUGACUGGGACAAAAGAUUCUUCCUAUUCCGCUAUGAUGUCAAUGAGCUUAAUAUCUUGGCUGAUGCUUUGGGGGGCAAGUUGAGUGCUGUUCAUAGAUGGGGUGUCUCUGAUCUUGGCUUAAGUUUGAGUUCAUGUGUCAAAAGAGAAAAGGCCCAGGAUUCCAAGAUUGUUCGCAGAUUAACUGAUGGCCCAAGAAGGUCCUACAUGUCACAGGCGUCAACUGUAUCCUUGGUACCUUCCCUUGUCUGCAACGAACAGAAAGAUAAAGGAAAUAAGAUGCCGGGCUUAGCUAGUCCAGAGGCUAACAAUGCCUGCCCUUCUGUAGAGCAGAUGAAAUUGGGAAAUGUUUCACCAUCAAAGCAGCCGUCUGUGAAGGAUGAGGAAUCCUGCCCAACAAACAAUGACACCAACAGAUUGCAAUAUAAUGGAGGAGGGCUUGGAGACCAGAAAAGCUCUGCACCCGUCUUACCAGUUUCUUCCAGCCAAUCAUUUUCUUCGAAUGUUGUGACAAGACCCUUCAAUACUUCAAGUGAAUCCACGAAAAGUGUGCAUGGCUUGGCAGUACUGAAGGCGAGUAGAGAAUCUUCUUUGCAAGCUGGAGAAUAUAGAUCAUCACUUGUUGAUCAUCAUAACAGGUCACCUACUAUGAUUCAUGACGGAGCCAACAUAAAGGCCAGUUUAGAUAGCUCAAACACCUCUCACAGAUUGAUUGCAUCAAACUCCAAUGCAACUCUCUGUCACUCGGACAAGGAUCAUGCACUUAUAAUACCAGAGACUAAUGCCACAAUAAUGCUUGAGAAAGGCAACAGCCAGGUCCGUAGUGUGUUGAGUCAGCAGUUUGACCAAAUUGUUUCACGGACACAAAGUGUGUCACAGGAAGCAUCAAGCAGUGUCUUUGUUCCCAUAGACCCUUCUAGUGUUAAAAAUUCACACGGAAGUUUUCCUUCUGCCAGUGCCCAUCAUGGAAAUUUAACUUUCAAUCAGCAACCAAACAAUGGAUGGUUCCAAAGAAAACCUGAAUCUCAAUCUGCUGUAGAGGUUAGAGCCAGGGGGCAUCCAUCUGUCGCAGCACAACAUGCCCAUCCAUCUAUCGCACCACAACAUGCCCAUCCAUCUGUCUCACCACAACAUGCCCAUCCAUCUGUUGCACCACAACAUGCCCAUCCAUCUGCCGUAGCACAACAUGCCCAUCCACCGGCCAUAGCACACCCUGCUCUGGAAAUGCACAACAGGAAUGGAGGUCCACAGAGGGGUCCUCGCAUAGCAAAUGUCGUGCAUCGAUUCAAAUGCUCUGUUGAACCUCUGGAAAUUGGUACUGUGUUAUCAGGGAGAAUGUGGUCUUCAGGCCAAGCAAUCUUCCCCAAAGGAUUUAGGAGCAGAGUAAAAUACUGGAGCAUCGUGGAUCCAAUUCAAAUGGCAUACUACUUUUCCGAAAUAUUAGACGCUGGGUUGCAAGGACCUCUAUUUAUGGUUACUGUAGAGAACUGCCCAGGUGAAGUUUUCAUUAAUGAGUCGCCUACCAAGUGCUGGAACAUGGUCAGAGAGAGGCUGAACAUGGAAAUACGGAGGCAACUCAGUAUGGGAAGGCCUAACGUUCCUACUCUGCAGCCUCCAGGAUCUAUCGAUGGUCUUGAAAUGUUUGGGCUCUUAUCACCAGAAAUAGUUCGGGCAAUUGAGGCCCGGGAUAGAGAUCACAUCUGUACAGAGUACUGGAGAUACAGGCCUCAUGCUGCCACUGGUAAUCAACAUACCCUACCUCAGAAUCCACCAAGUAUUGUCCUGAGGGGGCUCUUCCAGAGAGCUAGCCCGGAUGAACUGCGAGCCCUACGAAGUUUACUGGCAAGCAAUACCAAUCUGGAUGAUAGGUCCAGGCAGCAGGCCACCCAUAUGCUUGAUGAGGAGAUUGCGAAGCAAUGGCGCUGA
Molecule: ribosomal RNA, 3831 nt
Filed under: Triticum aestivum (bread wheat)
Lineage: Eukaryota; Viridiplantae; Streptophyta; Magnoliopsida; Poales; Poaceae
Description: partial small subunit ribosomal RNA
Source: RNAcentral